UACGGAGGGGGCUAGCGUUGUUCGGAAUUACUGGGCGUAAAGCGCGUGUAGGCGGUUUGCCAAGUCAGGUGUGAAAGCCUUGGGCUUAACCCAAGAAAUGCACUUGGUACUGGCAGACUAGAGGACCGGAGAGGAUAGUGGAAUUCCCAGUGUAGUGGUGAAAUACGUAGAGAUUGGGAAGAACACCAGUGGCAAAGGCGGCUAUCUGGACGGUUUCUGACGCUAAGACGCGAAAGCGUGGGGAGCAAACAGG
RNAcentral lists this ribosomal RNA (253 nucleotides) under uncultured bacterium. Its description in RNAcentral is "partial 16S ribosomal RNA". It matches the Rfam family "Bacterial small subunit ribosomal RNA", at positions 524 to 776 of the family's 1533-position model. The record is from RNAcentral.